GAGUCUUUUAAAAAAUAGUUAAGAAAAUCCUAAUCUUGAAGACGGAGGGUCACUUUGAAAAAAAUCAGGAGAUCUUUGAGAAAAAAACCAAGAGAUUCAUAUUAUAUACAGAUCUGAAAGAAAUGGAAAAUAUUUAAAGUUAAGGUUUCGAAGAACCCAGAAAAAGUGAGAAACCUUUGAAAGGUUACCGAUCAAGCCAGACUUGUCACAGAUCUUACUCGAAUAAUCAUGGAUUGCUGGAAAAUGUCAUGGGAAACCAUGGGAGGCGAGUGGACCGCCUCUGGUUCACUUGAGGCCCUCAAAAUGAUGACACAUGAUCAAAAGGGAGCCAUAUGGCUGGUAGGUGGUUAGAUCAACAAGGAUUCAGGCAAGGAGAGGGCCAGAGAAGGUGGGUGAAGUUCAUCUAAUACGAGGGGAGGAUGCAGGGUUCUACAGAGAACCAGAGAGAGAGAGAGAUGAGAAUCAGUUAAGUAAGGAAAGAGAGGGUUUGGAG
RNAcentral lists this long non-coding RNA (493 nucleotides) under Nicotiana benthamiana. RNAcentral's name for it is "long non-coding RNA (NBEN_LNC034065)". Lineage: Eukaryota; Viridiplantae; Streptophyta; Magnoliopsida; Solanales; Solanaceae. The record is from RNAcentral.